Drosophila ananassae is the source of this 3679-nucleotide long non-coding RNA. RefSeq lists it as uncharacterized. NCBI's taxonomy places the organism in Eukaryota, Metazoa, Arthropoda, Insecta, Diptera, Drosophilidae. The transcript is spliced from 2 exons. The record is from RefSeq and is a predicted model, not a curated record.
GGAUCACCUCCUGAGUCGAUAUGAGCAUGUCCGUCUGUCCGCCUGUCUGUCUGUUUCUACGCAAACGAGUUUCUCAGUUUUAAAACUAUCGAGAUGAAACUUUGCACACAUCCUUCUUUUGUUUGCCGGCAGUUUGUGAGUUGGAACGGCCGGAAUCGGUCGACUAUAUGCUAUAGCUGCCAUUUAACUGAUUGAUCGGAAAUGCCACAACUUUAUUGUUUCUUAAGUUAAAGGGUUAGGAUUUCAUAAAUGUUAUAUUUGGCUAGAAUAUCUUACCUACAAAAUUUCAUAAGGAUCGGCCGACUAUAUCCUAUAGCUUUCAUAUAACUGAUUGAUCGGAAAUGCCAUUACCUGGGUGGUUUUUUAGUUGAAAAGAUGGUACUUGGUACAGAUUCCAUUUUGGGCAAUCUAAUCCGAUCUGCCAAAUUUUAUAAGGGUUGGUCGACUAUAUCCUAUACCUGCCAUAUAUCUGAACGAUCGGAAAUUGCACAACCUUGCAAUUUUUAAAUUAAUGGUUAAAAAUGUUUUUUUUCUCAACAAAUACAGAUUUUUAGGGUGUAAUGAAUAUUUGAAACACUGAACAGCAAAGAAUUGGGCAUUCCCAAUGGGCCCGGGUUCAAAGUUGACUAGGCCAUCUUUUUAUAUCCUUGCAGAGGGUAUUAUAAUUUUGGUUAAAAGUGUGCAACGCAGUGAAGGAGACAUCUCCGACCUUAUAAAGUGUAUAUAUUCUUGAUCAAGGUCACCUCCUGAGUCGAUAUAAGCAUGUCCUUCUGUCUGUCUUUCCGUCGGUCCGUCUGUCUGUCGGUUUCUACGCAAACUAGUCUUUCAGUUUUAAAGCUAUCGAGUUGAAACUUUGCACACAUCCUCCUUUUCCUUGCGGGUAGUAAAUAAGGCGGAACGGCCGGGAUCGGUCGACUAUAUCCUAUAGCUGCCAUAUAACUGAUUGAUCGGAAAUGCCAUAACUUUGGUGUUUUUUAAGUUAGAGAGUUGUGUCUUUCCACACAUGUUAUAUUUGACUAAAAUAUUUUAUGUACAAAAUUUCAUAAGGAUCGGCCGACUAUAUCCUAUAGCUGUCAUAGGACGAUAGGAAUCGGCAGAACUUUGGAGUUUUUUUAGUUAGAAAGAUGGGACUUGGUACAGAUUCUAUCUGGGAAAAAUAAUCUGAUUUUCCAAAUUUCAUAAGGACUAUAUCCUAUAGCUGCCAUAUAACUGAACGAUCGGAAUUUGCAUAAUUUUGCCGUUUAUUAAGUUAGAAAGAUGGGACUUGGUACACAUUCCAUUUUUGGCAAAAUAAUCUGUUCUGCCGAAUUUCAUAAGGAUCGGCCGACUAUAUCAUAUAGCUGCCAUAUAACUGAACGAUCGGAAUUGGCAUAACUUUGCUGUUUUUUAAGCCAGAAUGAUGGGACUUUCUACGGAUUCCAUUUUGGGCAACCGAAUCAGAUCUGCCAAACAUCAUAAGGAUCGGCCAACUUUACGCUAUAGCUCCCAUAUAAAUGAACGAUCAGAUAUGGAACAACCUUAACUGCAAGGGUAUAUCAACUUCGGCUCCGCCCGAAGUUAGCUUUCCUUUCUUGUUUAUGAAAUGUUUUUAUCAUUUAUUACUAUUAUUAAAUAAUUAAACAAACCCGUUUUUACAUUGUUCGUCUAUUUAUUGCUUAUGUGGCUCAUCCCGUGUGGCCUGCUCAAGAAAUCGAUUUUUAUACCUUUGCCGAGGGUAUUAUAAUUUUGGUCAAAAGUGUGCAACGCAGUGAUUUUUAGAAGUAUUUUUUAGAAGGAUACUCGCAACAAUUGUCUAUAUUUGCAAAGAAAGGAUAUAGAAUUAUUGCGAUUGCGUUCAAGGCUCUUGACCCAAAAGUUAACUACACAAAAAUUCAGCGGUUUUCCCGUGAAGAUGUGGAAAAUUAUCUUGAAUUUCUUGGUUUCGUUAUACUGGAGAAUCGUUUAAAGCCAGACACAACUUAAGUAAUCAAUACAAUAAAUGCGGCGAAGAUUCGAAUUAUAAUGAUCACUGGUGACAACAUUUUAACAGCUAUCAGUGUUGCUCGUGAUUGUGGCAUAGUUAACUCAUCUCAAGCAGUGAUUACUUUCCAUGCAGAUCCGGUUAACAGAUCUGAACACAAUUCUGAUGAUAGUAACCGUCAUAAUAUUAAAAUGAGUAGCGACCAGAAUAGGCAAUACCAGUUACAAUACACAUUAGAUACGGGCAGUAAUAUUUGUGCUUCACAUCAAUUAUCUAAUAAUGGUAAUUUUUUUUUACAAGAAAGCACUGCAAGUAACUGCAGCGCCGAGAGUACGAUGAAUCUUCCCCGUAUAACAUCAAUAACUCCUUCGAAAAUGAAUCUUAUAAAAGUUAUAAUGAAAGCGUUGUACGUUUAAGUAAUAGUUCGGCAAGUGUAGAGACCAUAGAUACGUGGACUCACAAUGAUACAACAGAUGUUCACGUAGAAAUUGAAACAAUCAUUAUGCAAGAAAGUAAAUGGCAGCAACAAUAUACAUUUGCAAUGGAUGGAAACACCUGGCAUAUCGUAAAAGAUCAUUUCCCCGAGGAACUCGGAAUUAUAUUAACACGCGGAUCAAUUUAUGCACGUAUGUCCCCUGAGCAGAAACAAGCUUUAGUUAUGGAACUCCAAAAUGUUGACUACUGUGUAGCUAUGUGUGGCGACGGGACUAAUGAUUGCGCCGCUCUAAAGGCUGCGCAUGUUGGUAUUUCGCUUAGCGAAACUGAAUCCUCUAUAGCAUCCCCAUUUACUUCCCAUAAUUCUACGAUUUCAGCGGUUAUAAAUAUUAUAAAAGCUGCAUUGGUAACAUCUUUUGGUAUUUUUAAGUACAUGGCCGCCUAUUCGCUUGUCCAGUUCAUAUCUGUAAUGAUAUUGUAUUCAAUCGACUCCAACUUGGCAGAUAAACAGUAUCUCUAUGUUGACCUUGGGCUAAUUUCGAUAUUUGCCUUUUUUUUUGAAAAACGGAAUCUUUUGAUGGAAAAUUAGUAAAGCAAGUGCCGCUUAGCUCUUUAAUUUCUACGACACCCCUGGCCUCGCUUUUACUUCACCUUGCUGCCGUCACAAUUUUUCAGGUGACGGGUUGGUUUCACCUACAACAACAACCAUGGUUCACACCUUUUCAACAAACUGAUGAGGAAAAUUUAGGUUGUUAUGAAAAUAUACAAUGUUUUGCAUAUCUAGUUUUCAGUACAUAAUUCUGGCGUUUGUUUUUUCCAAAGGUGCCUCUUACAGACAACCCUUGUGGUCAAACUUUUCGCUUUGCUUAGCAUUUAUUGUUAAUCUUAUUAUCAUAGUUUAUUUGGCAAUUUAUCCCAGUGAAUGGGUAUCAAAUUUUUUCAACUCAUAGUACCUCCAGCAAUGAAAUUUCGAUAUAUUAUAGUUAUUUACGGCAUUGCUGCAUUUAACUUUAUUUCCAGGUUUUUGAAUCGUCGCUUAGAUAAUUUAAAGUAUACAAUUUUGUUAUACUCUAUAAAUAAAUUGCUGCGAAUGAAAUAUGUAUAUAUUAUAUAAAUUUUAUUGUAUAAAAAAGCGCACUAGCGCAAAAGCGAACUUUCAAUGCACAUAAAUUAUUCUUGCUAGCAGUAAAAUACAAGUAGUUGUACGAUAUGAUGUACAAAAGUUCUGUUUUUUGGUUAUAAAUAAAAUAAUAUAAAUGGAAUGAUUAAAUAGAUUAAAGGUAA